AUACGGAGGGUGCAAGCGUUACUCGGAAUCACUGGGCGUAAAGCGCGCGCAGGCGGGCUGAUAAGUUGGAUGUGAAAGCCUACGGCUCAACCGUAGAACUGCAUCCAAAACUGUCAGUCUAGAGUCUGAGAGGGGAAGAUGGAAUUAGUUGUGUAGGGGUAAAAUCCGUAGAGAUAACUAGGAAUACCAAAAGCGAAGGCGAUCUUCUGGAACAGUACUGACGCUGAGGCGCGAAAGCGUGGGGAGCAAACAGGAUUAGAAACCCUAGUAGUCC
This 274-nucleotide ribosomal RNA is filed under the name uncultured bacterium. RNAcentral's name for it is "partial 16S ribosomal RNA". It matches the Rfam family "Bacterial small subunit ribosomal RNA", at positions 523 to 796 of the family's 1533-position model. The record is from RNAcentral.